This 262-nucleotide ribosomal RNA is filed under the name uncultured bacterium. RNAcentral's name for it is "partial 16S ribosomal RNA". It matches the Rfam family "Bacterial small subunit ribosomal RNA", at positions 337 to 616 of the family's 1533-position model. The record is from RNAcentral.
GCCUACGGGGGGCAGCAGUGGGGGAUAUUGCACAAUGGGGGGAACCCUGAUGCAGCGACGCCGCGUGGGUGAAGAAGCGCCUCGGCGCGUAAAGCCCUGUCAGCAGGGAAGAAAAUGACGGUACCUGAAGAAGAAGCCCCGGCUAACUACGUGCCAGCAGCCGCGGUAAUACGUAGGGGGCAAGCGUUAUCCGGAUUUACUGGGUGUAAAGGGAGCGUAGACGGCGGCGCAAGUCCGGAGUGAAAGCCCACGGCCCAACCGU